Drosophila mauritiana is the source of this 819-nucleotide long non-coding RNA. RefSeq lists it as uncharacterized. The record is from RefSeq and is a predicted model, not a curated record. The transcript has 2 exons. Lineage: Eukaryota; Metazoa; Arthropoda; Insecta; Diptera; Drosophilidae.
CAAGUUGGCAUUUUUGUGAUUACUCAACUGCAAUUUGGAAACACAGGCACAUAAAAGUUAAAAACCGCCUUGGGAAAAGGAUUUAAAGGAAUUUUAAGGAUAUUUCAACUUCAGCGACGACGACAUUGCGCAUUUCUGCUUAGCUGCACAUAGAAACUGAAUCUUGGCACUUUCAAAAUGGCUAACUGGGCCAUAAAACCCAUUGACGGGCAUACGUCAAACUGAUGCUGAUGGCCAGACUACAACAUCUUGGCCAGCUGCCUCUUAUCGGGCCGAACACGUUUUGUCCCUAAACGUUUUACAGCUACCAACUGUCGGGCAGGAGGCCGAUCCUCUGGCCACGGAACUGGGGAUGGCAUCCACACGAAAGGCUGCUGGAAGGAACACCCAUUUAACAAGUCAGCCCGUGCGGGCAAGACCAUAAAUAUUGGCAAUUUAACAGAGUCAACAGUAUGGCACUCGACGGCGCAACUCCGACUGGGGGACACUGGGCAUUUGGCUGCCGGGGUUGGGGUCCCUGGAUUGGGGGUCCAUAAUACACCUUGUCGUACACGAUCCUUAUCUCUUGGAAUUUCUCGUGCGUGUCUGGCGUGCCAAAAAGUAUAAAAAUAAAGCACCAGGAACCAAAAGCAGCCAAUUGAAGAUCAUCGAAUGCUGGAUGAACUACAUCAUAUGGCAAGGAAGCGGCAUGUAUUAUAUAUCCAUAUUUAAAUUAUCCUAGUCUAUUCUUAAAUAGUUAAAGUACGCUUUUAGACAUAUCUAUCUAUAUAAUAGUGAAAAUUCAACAAAUGAUUGUAACUAUGCGUCAGGCAGCUAAAA